AUUGAACGCUGGCGGCAUGCCUUACACAUGCAAGUCGAACGGUAACGCGGGGCAACCUGGCGACGAGUGGCAAACGGGUGAGUAAUGCAUCGGAACGUGCCCAGAAGUGGGGGAUAGCCCGGCGAAAGCCGGAUUAAUACCGCAUGAGACCUGAGGGUGAAAGCGGGGGAUCGCAAGACCUCGCGCUUUUGGAGCGGCCGAUGUCAGAUUAGCCAGUUGGUGGGGGAAAGGCCUACCAAGGCGACGAUCUGGAGCUGGUCUGAGAGGACGACCAGCCACACUGGGACUGAGACACGGCCCAGACUCCUACGGGAGGCAGCAGUGGGGAAUUUUGGACAAUGGGCGCAAGCCUGAUCCAGCCAUGCCGCGUGCGGGAAGAAGGCCUUCGGGUUGUAAACCGCUUUUGUCAGGGAAGAAACGCUCUGGGCUAAUACCCUGGGGUAAUGACGGUACCUGAAGAAUAAGCACCGGCUAACUACGUGCCAGCCGCCGCCGUAA
This 498-nucleotide ribosomal RNA is filed under the name uncultured bacterium. RNAcentral's name for it is "partial 16S ribosomal RNA". It matches the Rfam family "Bacterial small subunit ribosomal RNA", at positions 29 to 523 of the family's 1533-position model. The record is from RNAcentral.